Selaginella moellendorffii is the source of this 395-nucleotide long non-coding RNA. RefSeq lists it as uncharacterized. The transcript has 4 exons. The record is from RefSeq and is a predicted model, not a curated record. NCBI's taxonomy places the organism in Eukaryota, Viridiplantae, Streptophyta, Lycopodiopsida, Selaginellales, Selaginellaceae.
UGUGUGGUUUGCAUUCCCAGCGAUUUUGCCAGGCCUCCAAUGAGUGAUCUCGUCCCUGUCAAAGGGACUACGGAGUCCUGGUCUCCACUGUUACAAAGCACACGCGAUCCAAACGCGGAGUCCCGCUUUGAGGAUGUCUCCAAGAAGAGGAGUUGGAAAGCGCCUGGAAUGUUUCGUCCGAGAUGAGCCCGUGCGACCAAAAGUACUCGUACAUCGCUGAUGUAUCCACGGCCAAGUUGAGGAGCGGAUUGCCAAUCUGCUCCAGUCGACUCAACCGUCAAGUUUCCAGGGACUUGGCUGUGCUUGAUGAUCAACUCGGCCAGCUGAGGAACGUAGUGCCCUGUAUCAACCAGGAAACUGAGAGCUCUUGUAAGAACGCUCGUCGGAAAUGGGCG